GANACACCUGGAAACAGAUGCUAAUACCGGAUAACAACAGAUGAUGCCUAUCAACUGUUUAAAAGAUGGUUCUGCUAUCACUCUUGGAUGGACCUGCGGUGCAUUAGCUAGUUGGUAGGGUAACGGCCUACCAAGGCGAUGAUGCAUAGCCGAGUUGAGAGACUGAUCGGCCACAUUGGGACUGAGACACGGCCCAAACUCCUACGGGAGGCAGCAGC
RNAcentral lists this ribosomal RNA (218 nucleotides) under uncultured Lactobacillus sp. RNAcentral describes it as "partial 16S ribosomal RNA". It matches the Rfam family "Bacterial small subunit ribosomal RNA", at positions 143 to 355 of the family's 1533-position model. The record is from RNAcentral. Lineage: Bacteria; Bacillati; Bacillota; Bacilli; Lactobacillales; Lactobacillaceae.